RNAcentral lists this ribosomal RNA (254 nucleotides) under uncultured bacterium. Its description in RNAcentral is "partial 16S ribosomal RNA". It matches the Rfam family "Bacterial small subunit ribosomal RNA", at positions 524 to 776 of the family's 1533-position model. The record is from RNAcentral.
UACGUAGGGUGCGAGCGUUGUCCGGAAUUAUUGGGCGUAAAGGGCUCGUAGGCGGUUUGUCGCGUCGGGAGUGAAAACCAGGUGCUUAACACCUGGCUUGCUUUCGAUACGGGCAGACUAGAGGUAUUCAGGGGAGAACGGAAUUCCUGGUGUAGCGGUGAAAUGCGCAGAUAUCAGGAGGAACACCGGUGGCGAAGGCGGUUCUCUGGGAAUGACCUGACGCUGAGGAGCGAAAGUGUGGGGGAGCGAACAGG